GGGCCGUGUAGCUGCUAUUUUACCACCAUUUCCUAUUUGAGCGAAUCCUGGUGAUUGGUGACUGUUUUGAGUGGAUGUUAUGGCCUGGAAUCAAGGAGAGGGAAGCUCAUCUGGGAUCAAGUUCGAUGAAGGGGGUGGAUUUAGUUUUAAUUGGGAAGAAGAGGAGUUCGAUGAACUGCUGAUUUGUUGCCUUCGGAUCCGUUUAAUAUGGAAUGUAGGAACCAAAGGACGGGUUUUUCAACCAUGACCAGUUGGUUAGAGGAUUUUUGGUUUAAGAUAGAUGAGAAUGAGGUUGCGAAACUUGAUUCUUUCUUGAUUCGCAAGAUGGGAAUUCAUCAGG
This 340-nucleotide unclassified non-coding RNA is filed under the name Hevea brasiliensis (rubber tree). Lineage: Eukaryota; Viridiplantae; Streptophyta; Magnoliopsida; Malpighiales; Euphorbiaceae. The record is from RNAcentral.